RNAcentral lists this ribosomal RNA (301 nucleotides) under uncultured bacterium. RNAcentral's name for it is "partial 16S ribosomal RNA". It matches the Rfam family "Bacterial small subunit ribosomal RNA", at positions 510 to 808 of the family's 1533-position model. The record is from RNAcentral.
CGUCGCCGCGGUAAUACAGAGGGUGCAAGCGUUAAUCGGAAUUACUGGGCGUAAAGCGCGCGUAGGUGGUUUGUUAAGUUGGAUGUGAAAUCCCCGGGCUCAACCUGGGAACUGCAUCCAAAACUGGCAAGCUAGAGUAUGGUAGAGGGUGGUGGAAUUUCCUGUGUAGCGGUGAAAUGCGUAGAUAUAGGAAGGAACACCAGUGGCGAAGGCGACCACCUGGACUGAUACUGACACUGAGGUGCGAAAGCGUGGGGAGCAAACAGGAUUAGAUACCCCAGUAGUCCCUGUCUCUUAUACC